Molecule: ribosomal RNA, 375 nt
Filed under: uncultured eukaryote
Lineage: Eukaryota
Description: partial 18S ribosomal RNA
Rfam family: Eukaryotic small subunit ribosomal RNA
Source: RNAcentral
CAAUGGCGUAUAUUUAAGUUGUUGCAGUUAAAAAGCUCGUAGUUGGAUUUCGGUUAAGAGCGACCGGUCCGCCGUUUGGUGUGCACUGGUUGGUUUUAACUUCCUGUAGAGGACGUGCUCUGGGUUUAACGACCUGGACUCGGAGUCUACGUGGUUACUUUGAAAAAAUUAGAGUGUUCAAAGCGGGCUUACGCUUGAAUAUUUCAGCAUGGAAUAACACUAUAGGACUCCUGUCCUAUUUCGUUGGUCUCGGGACGGGAGUAAUGAUUAAGAGGAACAGUUGGGGGCAUUCGUAUUUCAUUGUCAGAGGUGAAAUUCUUGGAUUUAUGAAAGACGAACUUCUGCGAAAGCAUUUGCCAAGGAUGUUUUCAUUAA